This 254-nucleotide ribosomal RNA is filed under the name uncultured microorganism. Its description in RNAcentral is "partial 16S ribosomal RNA". It matches the Rfam family "Archaeal small subunit ribosomal RNA", at positions 474 to 727 of the family's 1478-position model. The record is from RNAcentral.
UACCGGCGGCCCGAGUGGUGGCCACUUUUAUUGGGUCUAAAGCGUCCGUAGCCGGCUUGGCAAGUCCCCUGGGAAAUCUGGCGGCUUAACCGUCAGGCGUCCAGAGGAUACUGCCAGGCUUGGGACCGGGAGAGGUGAGAGGUACCUCAGGGGUAGGGGUGAAAUCUUGUGAUCCCUGAGGGACCACCAGUGGCGAAGGCGUCUCACUAGAACGGGUCCGACGGUCAGGGACGAAAGCUGGGGGCGCGAACCGG